This 1488-nucleotide ribosomal RNA is filed under the name metagenome. Its description in RNAcentral is "bacterial SSU rRNA". It matches the Rfam family "Bacterial small subunit ribosomal RNA". The record is from RNAcentral.
AGAGUUUGAUCCUGGCUCAGGAUGAACGCUAGCUACAGGCUUAACACAUGCAAGUCGAGGGGAAACGAUAUUGGAAGCUUGCCUCCGAUAGGCGUCGACCGGCGCACGGGUGAGUAACGCGUAUCCAACCUGCCCACCACUUGGGGAUAACCUUGCGAAAGUAAGACUAAUACCCAAUGACGUCUCUAGAAGACAUCUGAAGGAGAUUAAAGAUUUAUCGGUGAUGGAUGGGGAUGCGUCUGAUUAGCUUGUUGGCGGGGUAACGGCCCACCAAGGCAACGAUCAGUAGGGGUUCUGAGAGGAAGGUCCCCCACAUUGGAACUGAGACACGGUCCAAACUCCUACGGGAGGCAGCAGUGAGGAAUAUUGGUCAAUGGGCGAGAGCCUGAACCAGCCAAGUAGCGUGCAGGAAGACGGCCCUAUGGGUUGUAAACUGCUUUUAUAAGGGAAUAAAGUUAGUCUCGUGAGACUUUUUGCAUGUACCUUAUGAAUAAGGACCGGCUAAUUCCGUGCCAGCAGCCGCGGUAAUACGGAAGGUCCGGGCGUUAUCCGGAUUUAUUGGGUUUAAAGGGAGCGUAGGCCGGAGAUUAAGCGUGUUGUGAAAUGUAGACGCUCAACGUCUGCACUGCAGCGCGAACUGGUUUCCUUGAGUACGCACAAAGUGGGCGGAAUUCGUGGUGUAGCGGUGAAAUGCUUAGAUAUCACUCAGAACACCGAUUGCGAAGGCAUCUGGCGAAUCCGUAACUGACGCUGAGGCACGAAAGCGUGGGGAUAGAACAGGAUUAGAUACCCUGGUAUUCCACGCCGUAAACGAUGAUGGCUAACCGCCGGCGACACACUGUCGGUGGCCAAGCGAAAGCGAUAAGCCAUCCACCUGGGGAGUACGUCGGCAACGAUGAAACUCAAAGGAAUUGACGGGGGCCCGCACAAGCGGAGGAACAUGUGGUUUAAUUCGAUGAUACGCGAGGAACCUUACCCGGGCUCGAACGGCACCUGGAUCGCCCAGAGAUGGGCGAGUCUUCGGACAGGUGUCGAGGUGCUGCAUGGUUGUCGUCAGCUCGUGCCGUGAGGUGUCGGCUCAAGUGCCAUAACGAGCGCAACCCCUGCCGCCAGUUGCCAUCAGGUGAUGCUGGGCACUCUGGCGGGACUGCCACCGCAAGGUGUGAGGAGGGGGGGGAUGACGUCAAAUCAGCACGGCCCUUACGUCCGGGGCGACACACGUGUUACAAUGGCGGCCACAGAGGGAAGCUACCCCGCGAGGGGAUGCGGAUCUCGAAAAGCCGUCCCAGUUCGGACUGGAGUCUGCAACCCGACUCCACGAAGUUGGAUUCGCUAGUAAUCGCGCAUCAGCCAUGGCGCGGUGAAUACGUUCCCGGGCCUUGUACACACCGCCCGUCAAGCCAUGGAAGCCGCGGGCGCCUGAAGUCCGUGACCGUAAGGAGCGGCCUAGGGCGAAAGUGGUAACUGGGGCUAAGUCGUAACAAGGUA